Molecule: long non-coding RNA, 944 nt
Filed under: Marmota monax (woodchuck)
Lineage: Eukaryota; Metazoa; Chordata; Mammalia; Rodentia; Sciuridae
Source: RNAcentral
GUCAUCUUUUUGUCACUAUGAUUAAAAUACCCAACAAGAACAACUUAGAGGUGAAAGGUUUAUUUUGGCUCAUGGUUUUUUAGAGGUUCAGUUCACGGUUGGCCAACUUCAUCCCUCUGGGCUUGAAGUCAGGCACAGCAUCAUGGCGGAAGGGCAUGAGGAAGGAAAGCUGCUCAGGUUAUGUAGUUGAGAAGGACAGAGAGGGAGAGAGAGACAGACAGACAGAUAGGGAGAAACCAGAGACAAGACACAGUGCCCAAAAGUAUGUCCCCAGUGACUCACUUCCUCCAGCCAUGCCCACCUGCCCACAAUUACCACCCAGUGGUCCAUUCAAAGUAUUAAUCCAUCAAAUGGAUUAAUCCACUGAUGAGGUUACAACUGAGAAUCUGAUCAUUUCACCUGUGAACAUUCCACCCUGGAUAUCUUGUUUCUAACACAUGAACUUUUAUGGGAGGGGACACUUUAUAUCCAAACCAUAAGGUUCUUUGUUCUGAGCAACAACGUAAAGGGUAAAAGAAUAGAUGUGCACCAACCCCCUAGCAGCAAAAUUGGCUCUUGCCUGUUCAAAGUUAAGUUUCAGGCAGCACGUCCCCUGUUGUGGCUCCAGGACCAGUAGCACCUGUCGCUCUACACUUCUCAGGAAUAGAAAUUCUCAGCCACCUCCCCAGACUUGAUGCAUCAGAAACCCCGGGGAAAGGACCCAGGAGCAGGUGCUGAGCAAGUCCUACGGGCGAUUCUGGUGCAGGUUCUAGUUUGAUGACCACCGAUUCCAUAUUCACUAUGCAAAAGACCACCAGGUGUCUGAAUAUAAGCCAGCAAUAGGGUGUUGCUUACGGAGGAGAGUACGGAGGAGAGAGGUGAACCACCAGGACUCUGGAGCUCAUAAACCAUAUUCCUACCUUCAGGAAAGGGAGUGAUGUGGACACAAAUAAUUUUUUUUUUCC